UAAAUGAGGCCCGGGGAGGGGCGGCGGGGUUUACACGGCCUCGGGGGCCGCGGCCUCCCCCGCCGAGCAAGACAUUCCUUUCCGCUGAACUGGGCGCCUGGGCCCGCGCCGCUGCCGCGCCCUGCUCGCAUCGCCCUCGGCGGCCUGGCCCCGGGUGGGGAACGGCGCCCGGCCGGGGGCGGGGGUUGUGGUGGUGGCGGAGACGAGGGAGCGGGGAGCAAGGCCUGGGGUGGCCCCUUUCCCUCCCUGCGCUGUUCCCGGGAGCUCGCUGAAGCCUCAGCUGCCUGGGAGGGAAGGGAUCGGUUUGCCCAUUUAAGGGGUGGGGGACCUGAGCCCAGUGAGAGUCAUCACUGCGGGGUGUCUGAUUCCCCCCCGCCCCCCGCCCCAUUCCUUUGCCCAAGGCCUGAGACUCUCCCUUCACCCCUGUCCCCGGGUUGUGACUUUGGGUCUGCUGACAGCCCUGGGGUCUGAAGGCCAAGCACACUGUAGGGGCACCUUAGCCACUGGCUGACUGGGGUGCUUUUCCAGGGACCCCGGAGCGCAGUGAGCAGGCCCGUGCAUCUGACCUCACAGUGUCAGACGCCCACAGCCCCAGGGCCGGGCAGGGGUGGGAGGUGUCUGGAAUUACUGGUUUACCAAGACUGGUUGUAGGGAGAAGUUUCCAGACCCCUUGAGGUCUCCAGGGGGACUCAGUGUAGGAAGAGGACACUCUUAGAUGCUAACAGAGACCCCAGGGCCAAGCAGGCCUUCCCCUGGACUGCAGAUCGCGGUCGAGCCGUGGUUAACUUCUGUGUAUCGAAGUUUCCUUUAGGGGGCCCUAGUGUUUCCCCCACCCCAGCCACCCCUGGGCCCCUUCCAGCCCUUCCCUCUCCCAACCGGUUAGUGACCUGCACCUACUGGGUUCCAGAGUUUGGCCUCAGCUUCCAGCUGUGUAGCCUGGGGCAGCCGCCUUCACCACUGGAUCCUCUCGCUCACCUGUGAGAUGGGUUAGUAACAGUGCCAGCCUCGCCUGGGCUCUGGAAGGUUCCGUUAGGCCAGUCUUGACUUAGCACAGAAUCUGGCACGCAGUAAGCGCUCAAUACACAGUCGCUGUUGUUGGAGCUGGUUGUUUAUUACUGUUAUUUCUGAAGGACUCACCAAGGCCUAGCGAAGCCCCCCUCCCUGUCCUCUUAAGCAGAGCCGUGAGAAUGCUGAGCCUCGCAGCAUCCUGGCUUCUCCUCCCCGUUCCCCAUGAGCCGUGUCGAAAUCCUCCCAGAGAAGCUGCUGGGCAGAAACUUCCAGUCUCCCUGGCAAAGCCGGGAAGAGUUUGGGUGCGGCUCAGAGACGCAGUUGGGCAGGCUCUGCGGGGCCAGGGCUGGGGAAGGGCCCCCAGAUGAUCUUCGAGACCUGGGAAGCACCCCCGACCCUGGGCUGCGCCUGGCCCCCAGCUCCAGCCCCAGUGCUGUUACAGCCCAGGCAAGAGCCCACGGUCCUGCUGGUCCUGAAGGCUGGGGGAGGAAGAAUGCUGGCCAUACCCCUCCUUUGGCAAGCCCCUGUACCGCAGGAGUCUGAGUGAGUGCCCCUGGAAGAUGGGAUAAUGGGGUCACUGUGAGCAUCCCACAAGUGGGGGCUCUUUGCUUUAUUGACUGUCCCAAUUGUAGGGGCCACCGGGCCUCCAAGAGGCCCACUUUGCUGAUUCCUUGACCACCAGGAGGACCAGAGGCUCUGAUCAGGAUGGUGGGUCUCACUGGGGCUGUGGGGAAGUGGCCGGGGGAACCCACCAGGGACCUGGCAGACAGACUGAUCCUUGCUUUGCUCACAGGGCUGUGUGACCUGGGGUCACAAUUCAGCCUCUCUGGACCCUGUUCUAUCUGCAAAACAGACAGUGGCCUGUGAGCCUCACUCAUCAGCGGGAAGUUGGGCGCACUGCAGUAGGAAGAGAUGGGAGUCGAGUCCCUGUGCUGCCCACAACUGGACAGGUGGCCUUGGGCAAGUCUGAAUGAGACUGACUAAGACUGAAUAACUCGAAUGAGUAGAACGUGUCAGCGGCGCUCUGCUUCAGGCUGAUGUUGGGUGUUUUACAUACAUUGUCAUCUCACUGUUACUCUUGGAGGGAGGUUUUAUUAUUGACUUUAUUUUCCAGAUGAAGUAACUGAGGCUCAGAGAGGUCAAUUCACUUUCUCAAGGACACACAACUAGGAAAUGAGAGAGUCAGGAUUCAAACCCUGAUCUGCUGGCUUGGAGCAUGAAUCCCUAAAGAAAAAGCAAGUUGAAUGUUUUCAAAAAUAAAACAUUUGAAGCACCUACUAUGUGUAAGACGUCGAGGUAUGUCUAUUCCAAAAAGAAAGAAAGAAAGAAAUUUGCAAAGGAAAGAGCCGGGAGACAGAGACAUAGAAGACUGCAGCGGACUGAGCCAGGAUGGGUGGGUCCAGGCCACCUCUGACUGAUGGCUUUCCGGCGAUUUGAGUGAUGGGCCAUCUGGCAGCACCUUCUCAGAGAUGCUCACCUCUACAGGAGCUCCCAUCAGUCCGAUUUCUAGCCCAGUGCAGACCCAUCUGUCCAAUGAACUUGCAGCGUCACCUACUCUGGGCCAGUCACUCUGCCAGCACUGAAGAUGGAGCAGUGAACAAGACAGACCAAGUCUGCCCUCCUGGCGCCUACAGCCCAGAUGCGAAACACCUGAAAUGGGUAACUCCAGAGAGAAUCGGCUCAUUACGGUGUCACUUCUGCUGAUCCGGGGAUUCAGGCAGGGUCCCAUGGGGUGGGGACUCUUAAGCUGAUAUUGGCAAAAUGAAGAGCGGAAAGCAUGGUUCCAGGCGAGGGGAAUGACACGCCUGAAGACCCUGGGGCAGAAAGGACAUAAAGCUGUCCAGACUGGAGAGAAGGUCCAAAUGGCUGGAUCUUAGAACCGAAGGUGAUGGGAGGGGAGGAGAAGCUGAGAGGAGCCAGAUAUCCGGAGCCUGGGAAUGCUGCUUUGAAAGCCUGGAGAGCCAGAGAGGGAAGGAAGUGAUCAAUCAUGCUUGCAUAUUAGAAAGAUCUGUCUGGGGGACAUAAAGGGCAGACUGGGCAGGGAGGUGAGCAGAGAGUGGAAGCUGGGGGCCCAGCCUGGAUUGGGGCAGGGGCAGUGGGCACAGGGUGAAGGGAGCUGACUUCUUGAAGUGGGAAGCUCUUUAGGUCUUGGUAAGUAUUGGGCUUGGGGGUUAGGGAGAAGCAGUCGGCGAUGGCACCUGGGAACUGGGCAGGGUCAGGUGCAUGGCUGGAAGCGAUGGUCAGGGGCAAGUUCCAAAAAGAGGGGAAGCGCUGCAUCCAGCUUGGGCCACCCCAGUCUGCAGCAGUGCCCGGGGACCACAGCGCAGUCCUCAGACCCCAGUCCCAGUCUAGAGAGCGGCACUCUGGCCCUUUUCUGAUUGUGCCUUUCCUCAUGGGGCAAGGAAUCUGUGAUCUGGGCACCUGAGACCAUGGAAUUCCCUGCUCAAUGCCCCCCAGCCCACUUCCUGGGUCCAUCCUCCUGGGGGUGGUCUGAGCUGCCUGUUUGAGUACCCCUAAUCCCUAGGGGUGGCCAAGAGGUGGCUGUUUGCCAUGGGUGUGGGCAGGCUGGAGCGUCAGCACCCAAGCUCGUAAAGCCCCUCGUGGAAAAGAGCAAAACCUGCGCAGAAAGAAAAGAGGGGCUGAGUGGAAACCGGAGGCCAGGGCUGCCUCUCCUCGUGCUGCCACUUCCAGCAUGGACCCCAGGGGCCUGAGACUUCUAAUUACAAACCCAGCCUUCCAGGGGUGUUUGUCCUUAGGAAGGUGUAUUUGUCAAGGACGGAGGACAGAACGUAUUUUAUUUAGUAGUUCGGCAGCUUGAUUUAUAACUUGUAAAUACUUAGACACAAGGUAUGUGGCCUUUGCUUGUGCCCUGCCCUCCAGUGUUGCCCAGAGAGGAGCCGCCGCCCGGGUUCCACAUCGGCGUCGGCUGGCUGACCCUGGACCUGGAGGUCAGCCGCAGGGGAUGCUUCAGGCUUCUUCAGAGCUUCCAGACCCAACUUCAUGUGCCCCCACAGCACAUCCACCCUUUUUUAAAAAAAAAAUUUAUUUAUUAUUUAUAUU
Non-coding RNA from Globicephala melas (long-finned pilot whale), 4068 nucleotides. The record is from RefSeq and is a predicted model, not a curated record. NCBI's taxonomy places the organism in Eukaryota, Metazoa, Chordata, Mammalia, Artiodactyla, Delphinidae.